RNAcentral lists this long non-coding RNA (675 nucleotides) under Callithrix jacchus (white-tufted-ear marmoset). Its description in RNAcentral is "lncRNA (ENSCJAG00000064238.2)". The record is from RNAcentral. Lineage: Eukaryota; Metazoa; Chordata; Mammalia; Primates; Cebidae.
AAACAGAAGAAUCAAGGAGAAAAUGUGCAGGAGCAGUUAUUACAUAUUUUCUGGAUCUAAAUUCAGCCUGACCAAAUUUAAAAUUUGGCAACAUUUGCCGUUGGGAAUUAACUACACGAGAGACAAAUGUCAACCUACAGACAGUGGAAUGCAUGUGAAGAAUAUGGGUUUUGGAACUAAGAAUCAACAGCAAACCCUCUCCUCCUGGGCUUCAGUACCCCAGAAAGACAGUUGUGCUCUCUGGCUGAUGGGACAGAAGACACUUUUCUUACUUCCUACAAUGCUUCUCCAUCAAAAACUUCCAUUUUUUCUGCUUGAAAAAUAGGAAAAGCCAUCUGAUUAUAUAUGAUCUCUGCUGAUCUGCCUGAGAGGUAUGUGUAUAAAAAUUAUUACAUUUUGUAUUAGUCAUGGUUCUCUAGAGGGACAGAACUAAUAGGAAGAUUUAUAUAUAAAGAGGAGUUUAUUAAGGAGUAUUAACUCACACGAUCACAAGGUCCCACUACAGGCCAUCUGCAAGCUGAGGAGCAAGGAGAGAGAGUCCGAGUCCUAAAGGGGAACAACUUGCAGUCUGAUGUUCAAGGGCAGGAAGCAUCCAGCACCGGAGAAAGAUGUAGGCUCAGAGGUUAAGCCAUUCUAACUCCCCAGGUUCUUCUGCCUGCUUUAAUCUGGCCUCAC